UACGUAGGGUGCAAGCGUUAAUCGGAAUUACUGGGCGUAAAGCGUGCGCAGGCGGUUUUGUAAGUCUGACGUGAAAUCCCCGGGCUCAACCUGGGAAUUGCGUUGGAGACUGCAAGGCUGGAGUCUGGCAGAGGGGGGUAGAAUUCCACGUGUAGCAGUGAAAUGCGUAGAGAUGUGGAGGAACACCGAUGGCGAAGGCAGCUCCCUGGGUCAAGACUGAC
Molecule: ribosomal RNA, 221 nt
Filed under: uncultured bacterium
Lineage: Bacteria
Description: partial 16S ribosomal RNA
Rfam family: Bacterial small subunit ribosomal RNA
Source: RNAcentral